AUGGCUCUUACUGAAGACUAGCAGUUAGACUGUAGCUGUUGGUUUCAAGCAGAGGCCUAAAGAACUGUCUUCCCGUGGUUAUCGGCUGUUCUGGAACCUCAGUAGAGAAGGACGAUUCCAUUGGGAAGAAACAGCU
This is a small nucleolar RNA of Peromyscus maniculatus bairdii (prairie deer mouse), 136 nucleotides long. The record is from Ensembl. NCBI's taxonomy places the organism in Eukaryota, Metazoa, Chordata, Mammalia, Rodentia, Cricetidae.